UUCGUAUACACAGCCACCUACACAAACAUCAGCACAGACAAAUCUGAGGUAUUUCUGCACAUUUUCUCCUCUCCAGUUCAUUACAUUCAGGUGGUGUAUUUGAAAGACAUCCAGACCUUUGACACCUCAUGCAGCUGAGGAAACACAUUCCUGGUAUCAUCUGUGAAUUCUACACCUGGCGAGAGCACCAACAGAAGAUAACUCGAUUUUGUGGGCAUAUAAUCUAGCCUGAUGACAGAUGACAUCAUGCAAGAAACAUGACAAACUAAAGAGACUCUCAAUGACAGUAAGAUCUAGAAAAAAUAAUGAUCUAUGAAGAAAGACUGAGAUUUGUGUUUGCAUACUCCAAAGAGAAGGCAACUAAGAUAGGGACAUGAUACCAGCCUUCCAGUCAUCACUGUGAGAGGUAAAGAAUAAACUACACUCCACGCUGCUGUAGAAAUUCAAAGUAGUAAUUCAUUUGAGAAACAAGAGAUUUAGGCUAAAUAUUCAGAAAAAGAAUCCAUUUGCAAUCUUAA
Molecule: long non-coding RNA, 518 nt
Organism: Columba livia (rock pigeon)
Lineage: Eukaryota; Metazoa; Chordata; Aves; Columbiformes; Columbidae
Exons: 3
Source: RefSeq, a predicted model, not a curated record